GACGAACGCUGGCGGCGUGCCUAAUACAUGCAAGUUGAGCGCUGAAGGUUGGUACUUGUACCGACUGGAUGAGCAGCGAACGGGUGAGUAACGCGUGGGGAAUCUGCCUUUGAGCGGGGGACAACAUUUGGAAACGAAUGCUAAUACCGCAUAAAAACUUUAAACACAAGUUUUAAGUUUGAAAGAUGCAAUUGCAUCACUCAAAGAUGAUCCCGCGUUGUAUUAGCUAGUUGGUGAGGUAAAGGCUCACCAAGGCGAUGAUACAUAGCCGACCUGAGAGGGUGAUCGGCCACAUUGGGACUGAGACACGGCCCAAACUCCUACGGGAGGCAGCAGUAGGGAAUCUUCGGGCAAUGGACGAAAAGUCUGACCGAGCAACGCCGCGUGAGUGAAGAAGGUUUACGGAUCGUAAAAACACUGUUGGUAGAGAAGAACGUUAGUGAGAGUGGAAAGCUCAUCAAGUGACGGUAACU
Molecule: ribosomal RNA, 473 nt
Filed under: uncultured bacterium
Lineage: Bacteria
Description: bacterial SSU rRNA
Rfam family: Bacterial small subunit ribosomal RNA
Source: RNAcentral